This 203-nucleotide long non-coding RNA is filed under the name Elaeis guineensis (African oil palm). RNAcentral describes it as "long non-coding RNA (EGUI_LNC002853)". The record is from RNAcentral. Lineage: Eukaryota; Viridiplantae; Streptophyta; Magnoliopsida; Arecales; Arecaceae.
AUCCAUGUCUUUCUUGCUCUUGCUUCCAUCCAUAAUUUUUUUGUACAUCAAAUGGAUAUGAAGACCAUCUUUUUCAUGGAGAUCUUGAUAAAGAAUCUACAUGACUCAAUCUAAGAGAUUCAUUGUGUCCAGUCAAGAGCAUAAAAUGUGCAAGCUUAUUAGAUCCUUAUAUAGAUUAAAACAAGCAUCUAAACAAUGACACA